UAGAAUGUAAAUUAGUAAGCUAAGUGAUUAAUAGUUAAGUUCUUUAAAGCUAAAUAAUUUGGCGGUAUUUUAAACUUUUCAGAGGAACCUGUCCUAUAAUUGAUAAUCCACGAUUUAAUAAACUUUAAUUAGAAAUUUUUAUAUCGUCGUUUUUAAAUAUUUUAAAAGAAUUCAAUAUUUACAAUUUUUUAUUAGAAACCAAAUCAGAUCAAGGUGAAGUUUAUAUUAGAGUAGAGAUGGGUUACAUUAAAUUUUACUUAUGGCUUAAAAAUUUUAAUUUUUUUAUAAAAUUGGAUUUGAAAGUAAUUAGAUUUAUUUUUUUUUAAUGAGUUAGCACUAAAAUAUGU
Molecule: ribosomal RNA, 347 nt
Filed under: Adalia conglomerata
Lineage: Eukaryota; Metazoa; Arthropoda; Insecta; Coleoptera; Coccinellidae
Description: partial 12S ribosomal RNA
Source: RNAcentral